AAGUGGAGCAAUCCAUGAGUACAGUGGCGUACGGGUGAGUAACACGUGGGUGAUCUACCUUUUAGUGGGGAAUAACCCUGGGAAACCGGGGCUAAUACCGCAUAAGCCCGAGAGGGGAAAGUCGCAAGACGCUGAAAGAGGAGCCCGCGGCCGAUUAGCUAGUUGGUAGGGUAAGAGCCUACCAAGGCAGAGAUCGGUAGCCGGCCUGAGAGGGCACACGGCCACACUGGCACUGAAACACGGGCCAGACUCCUACGGGAGGCAGCAGUGGGGAAUCUUGCACAAUGGGGGCAACCCUGAUGCAGCGACGCCGCGUGAGCGAUGAAGCCCUUCGGGGUGUAAAGCUCUUUCGGCAGGGAAGAUGAUGACGGUACCUGCAGAAGCAGCUGCGGCUAACUACGUGCCAGCAGCCGCGGUAAUACGUAGGCAGCGAGCGUUGUUCGGAGUUACUGGGCGUAAAGGGUGUGUAGGCGGUUCUUUAAGUUUGGUGUGAAAUCUCCCGGCUCAACCGGGAGGGUGCGCCGAAAACUGAGGGACUAGAGUACGGGAGAGGAAAGUGGAAUUCCUGGUGUAGCGGUGAAAUGCGUAGAUAUCAGGAGGAACACCGGUGGGUGUAGACGGCUUUCUGGACCGUAACUGACGCUGAGACACGAAAGCGUGGGUAGCAAACAGGAUUAGAUACCCUGGUAGUCCACGCCCUAAACGAUGCAUAUUUGGUGUGGGCAGUUCAUUCUGUCCGUGCCGGAGCUAACGCGUUAAAUAUGCCGCCUGGGGAGUACAGUCG
RNAcentral lists this ribosomal RNA (784 nucleotides) under uncultured bacterium. RNAcentral describes it as "bacterial SSU rRNA". It matches the Rfam family "Bacterial small subunit ribosomal RNA", at positions 72 to 888 of the family's 1533-position model. The record is from RNAcentral.